This 5982-nucleotide long non-coding RNA is filed under the name Hordeum vulgare. Its description in RNAcentral is "long non-coding RNA (HVUL_LNC007525)". The record is from RNAcentral. Lineage: Eukaryota; Viridiplantae; Streptophyta; Magnoliopsida; Poales; Poaceae.
UUCUCUUCUUAUUUUCUUCUUCUUCUCCUCUUCCUUCUCCUUCUCCUCCUCCUCCUUCUUCUUCUUCUUCCUUUUCUUCUCCUUCUUCUUCUCUUCUUGCUUUUUCUCUUUCUUCUUCUACGUAGCUUACUUUCCCCAGCAAAGACAUACUUAGCUAAUUAUCCUCCAAAAUGACAUAAUUAUCCUAGUUAGGGAAAAACAUCAUAACAACCUUGGUUAGCUCAUUAAAAUGACUAAUUUAGCUCCAAAAUGACAUAAUAAGCUCAAAAUGGCAUAAGAACCUUAGUUAGCUCAUGAAUAUUAUAUACUUAGCGUGUUUUCCUCUAAAAUGACAUAAUUAGCCCAUUUAGCUCCAAAAAGACAUACUUAGCUAAUAAUCAUCUAUUAAAUAGUCUAUAAUUAGCUUAGCUAGCUCGAAAAUGCCUUAAUAAUCAUAGUUGGAUCCAAAAUGACAUAUUUUACCCAAGUUAGCUCUAGAAUUGCCUAUACUUAGCUUGGCUUCCACCUAAAUGACAUAAUUAGCUUAGCUACCUCCAAAAUGGACUAUUUAAUAAGAAAUGACCUAUACUUAGCUAAUUAUCCUCCAAAUGACAUAAUAGCUCCAAAAAGGCAUAAUUAGCUAAUUUAGCUCUAAGAAGAGGACAAGAGGAGAAGAAAGAGGAAAAAUGAAAAGAAGGAAGAAGAAGAAGAAGAGAAGAAGAAGAUAAAAAGAAGGAGAAGGAAACGGAGGAGAAGAAGGAGAAGGAGCCCUCCUUCUUAUUCUCUCUUGCUUCCCCUUCUUCUUCUCCUUCUUAUUUUCUUCUACUACUCCUCUUCCUUCUCCUCCUCCUCCUCCUCCUCCUUCUUUUUCUUCUUUUUGUUCUCCUUCUUCUUCUCUUCUUGCUUCUUCUCUAUCUUCUUGUGCGCAGCUUAUUUUCCCCAACAAAGACAUACUUAGCUAAUUAUCCUCCAAAAUGACAUAAUUAUCUUAGUUAGAUAAAAACAUCAUAAGAACCUUGGUUAGCUCAUUAAAAUGACUAAGUUAUCUCCAAAAUGACAUAAUAAGCUCAAAAUGACAUAAGAACCUUGGUUAGGUCAUGAAUAUUAUAUACUUAGCNUCUUUUCCUCUAAAAUGAUAUAAUUAGCCCAUUUAGCUCCAAAAUGUCCUAUUUAAUAAAAAAAGACCAAUACUUACCUAAGUUCUCUUAUAAAUGACAUAAUAAGGCUAUGUAGCUCCAAGAUGACCUAUUCCAACUAACUUAGCUAUUAAAUUGCCUAUAAUUAGCAUAGUUAGCUCCAAAAUGGCUUAAUAAUCAUAGUUGGCUCCAAAAUGACAUAUUUUACCCAAGCUAGAUCUAGAAUGGCCUAUCCUUAGCUUGUCUUCCACCUAAAUGACAAAAUUAGCUUUGUUAGCUCGAAAAUGACCUAUAAAAAAUGAUCUAUACUUACCUAAGUUCUCUUCUAAAUGACAUAAUAAGGCUAUGUAGCUCCAAGAUGACCUAUUCCACCAAACUUAGCUAUUAAAUGGCCUAUAAUUAGCUUAUCUAGCUCCAAAAUUCCUUAAUAAUCAUAGUUGGUUUCAAAAUGACAUAUUUUACCAAGUUAGCUCUAGAAUGGACUAUACUUAGGUGAGCUUCCACCUAAAUGACAUAAUUAGCUUAGUUAGCUCCAAAAUGGCCUAUUUAAUAAGAAAUGACCUAUACUAAGAUAAUUAUCCUCCAAAAUGACAUAUUUAGAUCGAAAAAGGCAUAAUUAGCUAAUUUAGCUGGAAGAAGAGGACAAGAGGAGAAGAUAGAGGAAAAAUGAAAAGAAGGAAGAAGAAGAAGAGAAGAAGAAGGAGAAGGAGAAGAAGGAGAAGAAGGAGCCCUCCUUCUUCUUCUCUCCUCCUUCUUCUCCUUCCUCUUCUCCUUCUUAUUCUCUUCUUCUUUUCUUCUUCUUCUCCUCUUCCUUCUCCUUCUCCUCCUCCUCCUCCUCCUUCUUCUUCUUUUUCUUCUCCUUCUUCUUCCCUUCUUGGUUCUUCUCUUUCUUCUUCUACGUAGCUUAUUUUCCCCAACAAAGACAUACUUAGCUAAUUAUCCUUCAAAAUGACAUAAUUAGCUUAUUUAGGUAAAAACAUCAUAAGAACCUUGGUUAGCUCAUUAAAAUGACUAAUUUAGCUCCAAACUGACGUAAUAAGCUCAAAAUGGCAUAAGAACCGUGGUUAGCUCAUGAAAAUUAUGUACUUAGCUUGUAUUCCUCUAAAAUGACAUAAUUAUUGCAUUUAGCUCCAAAAACACAUACUUAGGUAAUAAUCAGUUAUUAAAUAGCCUAUAAUUAGCUUAGCUAUCUCCAAAAUGCCUUAAUAAUCAUAGUUGGCUCCAAAAUGACAUAUUUUACCCAAGUUAGCUCUAGAAUGGCCUAUACUUUGCUUGGCUUCCACCUAAAUGACAUAAUUAGCAUAGUUAGCUCGAAAAUGGCCUAUUUAAUAAGAAAUGACCUAUACUUAGCUACUUAUCCUCCAAAAUAACAUAAUUAGCUUCAAAAAGGCAUUAUUAGCUAAUUUAGCUCGAAGAAGAGGACAAGAGGAGAAGAAAGAGGAAAAAUGAAAAGAAGGAAGAAGAAGAAGAAGAGAAGAGAAGAAGAAGAGAAGAAGAAGGAGAAGGAGAAGGAGGACAAGAAGGAGAAGGAGCCCUCCUUCUUAUUCUCUCCUCCUUCUUCUCCUUCUUAUUUUCUUCUUCUUCUCCUAUUCCUUCUCCUUCUCCUUCUCCUUCUUCUUCUUCUUCUUCUUCUUCUUUUUCUUCUCCUUCUUCUUCUCUUCUUGCUUCUUCUCUUUCUUGUUCUAUGUAGCUUAUUUUCCCCAAGAAAGAUAUACUUAGCUAAUUAUCCUCCAAAAUAAAAUAAUUAGCUUAGUUAGGUACAAACAUCAAAAGAACCUUGGUUAGCUCAUUAAAAUGACUAAUUUAGCUUCAGAAUGACAUAACAGGCUCAAAAUGGCAUAAGAACCUUGGUUAGUUCAUGAAUAUUAUAUACUUAGCUUGUUUUCCUCUAAAAUGACAUAACUAGCCCAUUUAGCUCACAAAUGGCCUAUUUAAUAAAAAAUGACCUAUACUUACCUAAGUUCUCUUCUAAAUGACAUAAUAAGGCUAUGUAGCUCCAAGAUGAUCUAUUAUACCAAACUUAGCUAUUAAAUGACCAAUAAUUAGCUUAGUUAGCUCCAAAAUGGCUUAAUAAUCAUAGUUGGCUCCAAAAUGACAUAUUUUUACCCAAGUUAGCUCUAGAAUGGCCUAUACUUAGUUUGGCUUCCAACUAAAUGACAUAAUUAGCUUAGUUAGCUUCGAAAUGACAUAUUUAAUAAAAAAUGACCUAUACUUACCUAAGUUCUCUUCUAAAUGACAUAAUAAGGCUAUGUAGCUCCAAGAUGAUCUAUUCCACCUAACUUAGCUAUUAAAUGGCCUAUAAUUAGCUUAGCUAGCUCCAAAAUGCCUUAAUAAUCAUAGUUGGCUCCAAAAUGACAUGUUUUAUCCAAAUUAGCUCUAGAAUGGCCUAUACUUAGGUAAGUUAUCUCCGAAAUGACAUAAUAAGGCUAUGUAGCUCCAAGAUGACCUAUUCCACCUAACUUAGCUAUUAAAUGGCCUAUUAUUAGCUUAUCUAGAUCCAAAAUGGUUUAAUAAGCAUAGUUGGCCCCAAAAUGACAUAUUUUUCCCAAAGUAGCUCCAAAAUGACAUAUAGUUAGCUAAGUUCUCCCCUAAAUGACAUAAUAAGGCUAUGUAGCUCCAAGAUGACUUAUUUCCCAAAACUUAGCUAUUAAAUGGCCUAUACUUAGCUAAGUUCUCUCUGAAAUGACCUAUACUUCUCUUCUUCAUCUAGUCUUUUUCUUCUAACUUUCUUAUUUGCCAUUUUGCAUAUUACAUUCACUUCACGGGAACUUGGAUUAUAUUCAUGGAGUGCUUGAAUAUGGUUGAUUCUACCAUGGCUUCAUGGAAGCUUGGAUUGAAACUAUUGUAGUAUAUGGAUAUAUAUGAAACUUUGUAUGCAUGGAUGAAACUAGUGUAAUAUAUGGUUUGCUACGAAUGCAACUUGCAUAAUAUGUAUGUAUUAUGGAUGAAAGUUAUUUUAUUAUGGUUAUGAGUAUGGAAACAAAAUUAUUUCUGUCAAAUAUAUAUAUAUAUAUAUAUAUCCUGAUUAUUGUGAAAAUUAUUCCUGAUUUGUGUGAAAAUUUCUGGAUAUUAUAGAAAAUAAAAUAAAAAGGGUUGUUUUGAGACUUUGCCAUCCGCCCACCGACAGCAAAGGGCUUGCAACAAACGGCAAAGGCUGAAACAUGCCUGGACUGAAACAUGUUGGGGUGCCCCCUUUGUCGUCGGCCUCACUCAUGGCUGACGGCAAAGGGGGAGGGAAGAAAACAAAGGUGCAGGGAGAGAGGGGCUGGGUGCCCCCCUUUGCCCUCGGCCUCAAACAUGGCUGACGGCAUGGGGGGAGGAAAUACGGCAAAGGGGGGUAGGGCAGACGACAAAGCGGGGGUGGGCCGAGCAAGCUGUCGUUAGCACUUAACCAAAGCGCUUGCGGAUCUGCCGUCCCAUUUUGUUUGCCGUCAGCCCCCCCCCCAUGGCAAAGAUUCUUUGACAUCCACCUUCCAAAGGCAGACGGCAAAGAACCUCUUCACCGGAUAAAUCUUUGUCAUCUAGUUUGUCGUCCGCUGACGGACGGGAAAGGCUUUGCCAUCCGGGGUGCCCCCCUUUGCCUUCUGCCAUGGCGGACGGCAAAGUUUCUGAUCCCUGUACUGCACAUGACAUGCAAGACCAUCGUCAUCCAAUAAAAGUCUAAUCAGUCUAGUCACAUGGAUCUAGCAAUUAACCAUGCAGUAACUAAACAUAACACACAUAGCAAUCAAUAGAAAGGUGCAUAUUACCUCACGCGGACCAGCCAACAUGAAAAAAUGAGAAAAGUUUUCUUAGAGAACCUCAUUUAUAAGGAUUUAUCCCAGGGCAAAAGGAUUUGUUGCUAACUAAUGAACAUGUUUAUCUAGAAAGUUAGCACCAUUGUAUGAAGUAUCUAGAAAUUGUGCAGAGAUAAGCUGAUCAAACAAAUUCCUUUAUAACAUAUAAUUACAUGAGCGAACAUAGUUAGCAAUCCCUUGACCUCCCAAUGCAUUUUCUACCGAGGAUCCUUCGUAUUCAAAUAGAAGGAUCGAAUUGUUGAUGGCUAAGUUGCACCUCUCCAUUGGGGACUGCGAGAGGUGAAAUUCGGGAGCUACAAUGACGAACCUAGGCAUGUACUUGCGAGAGGUAAAUUUAAACAAAUUUGCAUUCAGUAUAUAAGCAAGAAAUCAAUGAAAAACUUUUCAAAUAGAAGAGUAAUGGUAGGCUAAUAGGAACUCACUCCUAGAUUUUGUACCAAACAGAAGAUCCAGUAAUGUUGUGGAAUUGUCAACGGUUAUGGCUCCUUCAGUAUGGUCAACCAAGAUUAAAAAAUCAGUUUCCACAUUAGACAAAGAAGUCAAGCACCUUUUGGUACAAAAGGAAACAUGCUACAUUUAAGUUAAUUCAACACAUCCAAAAGUAAGGAAAGGAAGAUACUUACUAAUUCUUGUACAUCUACACAUGAUAGAAGGCCACAACUCUGAAAUAAGUCAACCCGUUUGACCAAUGUUCAAUGCAAAUUAAAAAGUUUCAAGUUGUAACUACUCUCAACAAAUCUGCUAUCAGUCCCUCCAUAUUUACACAUAAAAACACUAAUUAAGGAUGGACACUUUCCAACAUAUUUUAUCCGAACAGCUAGCUGCUAAGCUCUCAACAGUCGAAUAAGUGUUGGAAAAUCAAUGGCCAUAGCGUCCGGCAAAGGAUGACCGCACAUGGGAAGGAUGGAGGGAGGGAAAGGAGAAAAGAUUACCCCAACAUUUGCUCAGCUCUGUCCUCCCAUAUCCACUAGCCUCCUCAAGCACCUCAGGGAUAGAUCCCCUUCUUCCGUUGCUCGCAUGUGACACCACCUAACUCCUCCCUAUGUCUCUCAAUCUCAUCGGUAGCUGGG